This is a non-coding RNA of Marmota flaviventris (yellow-bellied marmot), 400 nucleotides long. NCBI's taxonomy places the organism in Eukaryota, Metazoa, Chordata, Mammalia, Rodentia, Sciuridae. The record is from RefSeq and is a predicted model, not a curated record.
UCGAAAAGAGAGCCUAGCCCAGAGAGGGUGAGUAGGGUGUCCAGAAUGGCACAGCAGGAGAGGGACCAGGUGGGCCUCCCCGGAGCCCUGGCUGUCAACCCUCCAAGCUCACUCCAUUCCUGAGAUGGCCUGCUCCCCUCCUGGCCUUCGUGACCCUGCAGAGGAGGUGAGGGCUGGAGGUGCAGACAAGUGUCACCCAAGUCCCCAGAGCUGGACAGCACAAGAGUCAGGUGGCCUGGUGAGGUGAACCCCACGUGCACACGUGUUCCCAUGCCUAAAGAAGUUUCUAAACCAGAGGACGGGGACGUCCUGGUCACGGGUCCCUCGGAGAAGAGCUAGGAAGCUGGGCCAAGGCAGUCUCUGGCCUCAUGAAGACAUCACAAUAGUGGUCAGUCACCCA